GAGGGUAUAGCUCAGUGGUAGAGCAUGUGUUUAGCAUGCACAAGUCCUGGAGGUUCAGUCCCCAGUACCUCCA
This 73-nucleotide transfer RNA is filed under the name Camelus ferus (Wild Bactrian camel). It matches the Rfam family "tRNA". Rfam says of the family: Transfer RNA (tRNA) molecules are approximately 80 nucleotides in length. The record is from Rfam by way of RNAcentral. Lineage: Eukaryota; Metazoa; Chordata; Mammalia; Artiodactyla; Camelidae.